Molecule: long non-coding RNA, 592 nt
Filed under: Ananas comosus (pineapple)
Lineage: Eukaryota; Viridiplantae; Streptophyta; Magnoliopsida; Poales; Bromeliaceae
Description: long non-coding RNA (ACOM_LNC029458)
Source: RNAcentral
AACAACCCUUUAAAUAAGGUUUUCUCACAGUAAACGCCAAUCCACAUCCACCUUUUCCUCUCCCUCACUUUCUCUCUUCUCUCUUUGUAAUGACCCGACCCACUAGCAAUAGUAAUUCGUUGGACUCAAACCACUGGCCCAAAAUGCUUAAGCCCAAUUAUUAUAAGUAGGGUGUCCAUCACUUAUAAACCUCUGGCCCAAAAUGCUUAAGCCCAAUUAUUAUUAGUAGGGUGUCCAUCACUUAUAAACCCAUCACUCUCUUCCACAUUAUCCGAUGUAGGACUAUUGGGAUGUCACAUACUCUCCUUGUUUAGGCCCUGAUGUCCUCGUCAGCCCGACCCAAUCACACACAUCACACACAUAGCCUCAGAGUCACCAGACGAUGUGAGAUUUAUCUCACACUUCCGACUGGUUAUCAAGCUUUGAUACCAAAUGUAAUGAUUUGACCUGCUAGCAAUAAUAACUCGUUGAGCCCAAACCACCAGCCCAAAAUACUUAAGAUCAGUUAUUAUUACUAGUGUGUCCGUCACUUAUAAACCCAUCAUACUCUCCCACAUUAUUCAAUAUGGGACUAUUGGGAUGUCAAAAUUUC